GUGGCGCACGGGUGAGUAACGCGUGGGUAACCUGCCCUUGAAUUGGGGAUAACUCCGCGAAAGCGGGGCUAAUACCGAAUCAUAUUCCCCAAGGCAAAGGUGCAUUUAAGGAUGGGCCCGCGUACCAUUAGCUAGUUGGUAGGGUAAUGGCCUACCAAGGCAACGAUGGUUAGCUGGUCUAAGAGGAUGGCCAGCCACACUGGAACUGAGACACGGUCCAGACUCCUACGGGAGGCAGCAGUGGGGAAUCUUGCGCAAUGGGGGAAACCCUGACGCAGCAACGCCGCGUGGGUGAUGAAGGCCUUCGGGUCGUAAAGCCCUGUCAGGUGGGAAGAAUGACGGUACUACCGGAGGAAGCACCGGCUAACUCCGUGCCAGCAGCCGCGGUAAUACGGAGGGUGCAAGCGUUGUUCGGAAUUAUUGGGCGUAAAGCGCGUGUAGGCGGUCGAGUAAGUCAGAUGUGAAAGCCUUCCGCUUAACGGAAGAAGUGCAUUUGAAAC
Molecule: ribosomal RNA, 500 nt
Filed under: uncultured soil bacterium
Lineage: Bacteria
Description: bacterial SSU rRNA
Rfam family: Bacterial small subunit ribosomal RNA
Source: RNAcentral